GUGUGGGUCCUUACAUUCAGAAAAUCAGAAUACAUCUGUGGCUUAGGUUUGUGCAGAGUCUUCUGAUGGUGGUACCCCUAUUCGAAACGUGAGGGGAAAGCAGUUGAUUUGCUUAGCAUUGUGAAGUCAAGAAGCAUCCAUGGGCUGCAAGCUGAACAUCAUGGAUGGUUUACAGGAGUUUGUACCGCUUCACCAAGAUAAACGGUCUGGAGCGUUCCUAUUGUCCGAUUUACAGAACUGAAUAGUGGAGAUUUAUAAUGGGCCCAAGUCGAGAAUUACUUAGAGAAGUAAUUAUU
Long non-coding RNA from Elgaria multicarinata webbii, 296 nucleotides. RefSeq lists it as uncharacterized. Lineage: Eukaryota; Metazoa; Chordata; Lepidosauria; Squamata; Anguidae. The transcript has 3 exons. The record is from RefSeq and is a predicted model, not a curated record.